This 7395-nucleotide long non-coding RNA is filed under the name Sorghum bicolor (sorghum). RNAcentral's name for it is "long non-coding RNA (SBIC_LNC015821)". The record is from RNAcentral. Lineage: Eukaryota; Viridiplantae; Streptophyta; Magnoliopsida; Poales; Poaceae.
AACAAGGAGCUCUGUGUGAGGUGGUACUGCUGCUGCGACGGUGGAGCAGGGCACUGCGGUGGCUUGGCGUCGCGGCUGAGGUACUCGGGCGCCGUGGUCGUGUCCGCAGCCGAGGACGGCUGGUACCGUUCUUGCGACCGGCCGUGGCUGUGGCUUGGCUCGACGGGGCACCAGGCGGCGUCGUGGCUCCGGGGCGAGCCGAGGUGCAGGUGCGCGGGGGCGAGGGCGUGAGCUCGAUGUCGGGGUCACAGGUGCGGCUCGGAGGUGCCCGACACGGCGAGGGCGCUGAGGGCGAGGCGCUCGGGGUCGCGGCGGCUCGGCAGUGGUCGUUGUGGUCGCGGUCACCACGGCCGCGGCAUGGACGGAGACAGAGGCGUCGCGGGUGACGUCGCAGGGUGGACGCGGCCACGGCGAGGUCCAAGACGCGGGCGCGUCCCGCUGCUGCCCGCGGUGCUCGAAGACGGGGCUCGGAGAAGUGCUCGCGGGCGAGGGCGCACGGCGUCGGGGUCGCGGCGUGGUGCCGAGGACGGCGUGGCACGGUCGCGGUCGGGGCGCUCGGGCGCCGUGGUGGCGGGCGGCUUCGAGGUCGCCGGGCGAGGGUACGGAGCUCCUGUUCGGCGUCGCGGCGGCUCGGCAGUGGCGCGGCUCCGGUGCGGCGGCUUGGGAAGGGAGGUGGAGAAGGGGACGGCGGCGCCAUGGGGAAGGGAGAUGGCGGCUGUUGGGAAUGGAGCAAGCAGUGGCGGCGCGAUUCUUAUAGCGGUGCGAAGCUAGGGUUCCGAGGCCGUCUCGACGUCCGCGCCAUCGAUGCGACAGUCGAGACACGCAGCAGCGGAUCCUGGUGCUUGUACGGACGCCGAGGCAGGCAGGCGCGGGCGCAUUCCAAGCGGCGGCGGCGGCUGUCCUGGGAGCAGGCGCUCCUAGGGUUGGGGCGCAGGGGGCGCCACCUGCUGGGCCUAACAGGCCGCGACUUGGGCCAGGGCAGGGGGAGCGGAGAGGAGCUGGGCCGGGGCAAAGUGCGAGCAGGCCGGCUGGGCCGCGCGCGCUGGUUGGGCUGGUCUGGCUGCUGGGCCAGCAGAGGGAGAGAAAGAGAAGGAGUUGGAGCCCAAAAGAAUAAGGAAGGCUUUUCCAUUUUGCUAAAAUGGUUAAGAGGAAAAGAAAAAAGAGAUUGAGAUGAGUUGCCAUGAAUUUAAGAUAAUGGGAUUUUGAGAAGAGAAUUUCGACAAAAGCUCAGAAGGAUCAAAGGAGUUUGAGACGUACUCCAACGAAAAGGUUGAGAAGGGAUCCGCUUCACCUUUGAGAUAGGCUCAACAGAGAUUCAGAAAGACUUGCUACGAAUUUGUGCACUCAAAACCCUAAUUUAAGACUCAACUCGAAAUCGACUCACGAACGAAAGCACUCGCCUACAAACAAAUCUACAUGUAUGCCACGAUUUGUUAGUGGGUUAGGAUCGAGUUAGAUCUAAAAACUAUAUGCUACACAUGAUUACAGGAAAAAUUUUAAAAAUUUCAUAUUUUUGGUUUACGUAAAAAUCUGGGAUGUUACAGUCCACCCACCUUACAGGAAUCUCGUCCCCGAGAUUUAGGCGUUGCUCGGUUGGUGAAGAAACGAGGGUGUCGUUCCCAAAGCCUUUCUUACUUCUGAGUUGUUUCCCUUUAGUGUGAUCGCUCCACAAACCUUUUCCAAAAAUAGGAGUGAGUCAUAUUCCGAGUGUAUCCAAGGAUCACUUGCAGUUGUUGGGUAUCCAAAUUUUUACACCAGGGCGAUAGGUGUCCAAGAAUCGCAUGGGGUUGAUGAACAUCUGGCUCUCAAAGAGAGUAUGGCAGGCUUAAACAUAGCUAGGGUUGUUGGCUUUCACCAGCUGUUUUUCAUGCAUCAUCUUUUGAAAAAAGCUUUUGAAGGGAGGGAUUUUUUUGGGAAACAGGUUUCAAAAAUAGGGUGAAAUCGCUUUUACAAAGUCAAAGGUUUUUUUUUGACUUCAAAUUGAAGAGAGCUUUUGAAGAGGGUUGAAGUCAAUGCAAGUUUUGAAAACCAAAUCUUCUGAAGGUUUUGUUAUAAAAGAUUUCAAACCAAGAGAUUUUAAAACUCUUUUAUUUUACUAUUAUUAUUAUUUUAAGAUUUUUGAUGUAAAAGAUUUCAAAUCAAGAGACUUUGAAACUCUUUUAGUUUUCUAAAUGAGGUGUUGCUCUCUUUUAUUUGAAUUAAACAAUCUAGUUUUGAAAAUGGUUAGAAAUCAUUUCUCUCUUUUUUUUAGAUAGAGCUUUCGCAAACAAAACACUUUUGAAACUUGAAAGUUUUUUUUUUAGAAGAUGGCUGGUAACACCUUUUGAAAGAUAACUUGUUUUUAAAUCAUUUCAUAAAUAGCUUUUGAAAUAAAUCGAGUUGAGAAAAGAGUUAAAGUUGCUUUCAUUUUGAAAAGGAAAGAUAUUGAGAGAGUUUUGGAACACUUUUCCAUUUGAAAUAGAGAUGCUUUUGUUAAAGAGGGGACUUUUUCAACCAAAAGGAGGGAAGCUUUUUCAACCAAAUGGGGCAACUUUGAAGACAAGUUUAGUUGGAAGCCAAAAAUAGUUUUAAAAUAGAUGGGUAAGACAUGAUGCAUCAGCUUUACACCCUUUUUCAACUCUGUUAGCCAAGGUCACAUAUCUAGUCUCGGGACGGUCUUAGGUUUAGCCGGCUAGGUUGGACGAAAUCCAGAGUCUUCCUCGCAUAAAACAGGUUCUAUGACCUACAAUCAGACAACAAGAGGCCAAAGAAACACAACAACAUAAGAUCCAAGCACUCAAACAACAUUACAACUCCUAAUGCAUAGUGUUGACUUGAGGCGACUCUCAAAUCUUCAAAGUCUCACACAGCUAUCGAUCUAGCGUGGGCGGGUAUGGGAAAAGAUUCCAACGGUCAACUUUAUGAAACAGGGAGGUCAAUUAGCAGCAGAGUUCAAGGCAGAGGGGGAAAACAAGUGUUAGCAUUUAUAACUCUGCAAAAGAUUGCAGGUUUGGCUUCUAAACUAGUGUUUGGUACUAAUGGUCUCAUCCUAGGGUCAAGUAUGGCUCUGAUACCAAGUGAAUUGACCUAGAUUUUUCCACAAGGGGAAAAUCCACAGAUUCGAAUUAUAAUGUGAUAAUGCAAAAAUUGAGCCAUCACAUUAUCAUAUAUCAGCUGUUACCAUAGUCAUACAUCGUGAAAAACAAGAUUACAACACAUUUACUUUACAACUCUUGGUCAACAAGCCUAUUACAUCGUUUUUCUAGCGGAAACACACACGGGUCUAUAUCAGAGUUGAUGUAGCGCAUCAGCGGUGAAGGCUCCUCCUUCACGGGCAAUCAUCAGAGUCGGCGUAGUUUAUCAGCGGGCGUAGCCUUCAUCUGCGAACCAAACUUGAGCGCAGGAACGAGACCACCAAAUCCUUCUAUUCUCCGUAGUUAUCGUCAUAGACCACGUUCAAAACCUGCUAAACAACUUUCAUUACGAUUUGUACUGGCCACUGGCUCCCACCCUAUGCUUUUGCGUAAGCUUUGUGGUAAGUGGAAUGCAAAGGGUAGAUCAAGAGGCCUAUAUAUGGCUGUAGUUUUUCCUAUGCAAGUUCAUCAAUAUUUUAUAAUAAUAAUUCAUCAAGUGUUAUUCCAUCUCAUCCACACAUCCAUCCAUCCAUCCACCCAUCCACACAUCUCACCACACUCUCACUCUCUAGGCGGCAAGUACGACUCCCGCUCGUGCCUUGCCUCAACGGCCAACGCCGGAUCCAACACAAACCCAGGGGAAGGUAGAAAGGACUCCUCUCACUAGUCAAGUGAAGCUGUACUUAGGAAAGGUCCAUAGCCGACGAAUCGGCAUAUGUAUCGAUCGAUCAACCAAACUCUGUAGAGGUUUACACUAACCACAAGAUCACCAUCAUCGACGGUGGCCCCCGUCUAGGCUGAUUCCGAGCUGCCUCCCAACUAAAUACGAUGCCACCCUACCACUCAGAACUGGGGCCAUACCGGUGUACCACCGGCUUGCUGAGACUGUGAGGUGUAGUACCGGGCCCCCAAGGUCACUACGCUGCCUUAGGAGGGUGUGGGUCCUCAUGCCCGUACCUCCCUACACUAUCUGCUAUCAACCUAGUAGUAGUGGCACCGCACUAGCUGGUCGUACAUCCGUCCCGUUCCAUGGCUAAGGCGAGUGGCGUGUAAGGCUCCCUAAGACCCGGUCCACAGAACAUAUCAGUCCUUAGGGUGACCAAACAGGAUAUCUUCACGAGGGGCCAACCGAUGCCCCGCUCGACGGGACAUCCGAUUACCCCGUGCUAAACAGCACCUCCCAUCCCGGCGCUUCGUCCCACGAAGACACUCCACUCCGGGACCUCUCCCUGUCACAUGUACCCGCCACAGGUAUCUCUCGUGGAGAACGCCCAGGUAGCGUCCCCCGGCAAGACUUGUCCCAAGACUCGUCGUAGAUCCUGCUCGGUCGACUCGACCCUCACCACACACCCAAGACACACGCCAAGAUCUCCCCAAAUCCAUUAUCCAUUUCUUAUCCAGUUAUCGGCACCACUUGCCUUAUACACUCACAUCCAAUCCUCCACAAUGCAUCACAUCACAGAUAUAAUGCGUAGUAGAAGCAGUAGCAAGUAGUAAGCAAGCAUCUAACCUGACAGUGGGUGUGCGAGGGUUAUAGGUUGCAACAAGGCAAUGGCUCACAAGCAUUUCUAUCAUGCAACCUAUCUCAGUUCAUUUGCAUAAAAGUAAAGCACUAGCAUCUACAUUAUUGCAUGUCUAAUAGGAUUCUACGAGGUUGGGUGGGACGUGGCACCUGUUGAAUGUUAUUUCCAAGAUCCACAGUGCACUUGUAGUUGUUCUCAUCCGAGAUCCUCCUUUCUGCAUGUCCUCCCUCCAACGGGUCCUGAUCCGAUCAAAGCUAACCCCAAAGCGACUACCUCGUAAGCGACAAAUAAGGCGAAACAAUCAGACCACUAGACCUAGAAAGACUGCGAAGAAGGCAACAGAACACUGAAGAACAACUACACUAAAAGAGCACCGAAAGGAAGACGGCUUAGCCCUCUCGGCGGAUAUCCGAUCCCUAGGCUAAAAGAAACGGGAAUGGUUGUUCACUAAGUACAAGCUAGAGUCUUAGCCUAGCCGGUACUUCCCGGGUCAAUCGAGUCGACCUGCACAGCUUUAGUAACAAUGGCGUAGACUCUAACUUAUUCUAAGUAAACACCAUGGUUUACAGACCUUCGAUCCAAGCGUCACAGAGACUGAUGUGAACCAAACGGUUGUAAGCACAAGAGAUUCCGAUCUCUCUCAACCCGUACGCCAUUAUGAUUGACGAGAGUCCAGAGAGGGUGGAAGGCGAGAGAAAGAGUCGAGGAGUGGCCCCCUCCUAAUCCAGUCGCCAUGGUAAGAGACGGGGAAUUAGAAAGAGUGACGCACAAAGAACACGAGUGCUCAAGCUUCUUGUAGGGUACCACGACCUAGGUACACUGAAUGCACUAAGACAUCGCCAGGGUUCUUAGCGGUGCAGUUGUCACCACGAGAACCAAGGAACUGCUACGGUCGAAUAGGUACAAGCAUACAAGAGUUUAAACACAGAGAACCAAAAAGGCAAGGAAAGACACGGGUUUCACUUUCCAUUGAUCCGCUCGCCAUAGCAACGACGGGAGUCGCGGGAUUGGAAACAAAACAUUAAACAAGCAAAAAGGGCUCAAUCCACGUCUUACUGGAUGGACGGGAAUUGGGAACAAGAGAGAAGAAGAAUGGAGUCCACGUUCUUUCGACCAACUCAUCAUGGAACGAACGACGGUUGGACAAAAAAAAGGUACGACCCCAUGAUCCAAACCCACUCGUAGGGCACCAUGACUGUGCAUCUAAAUCAGCACAAGGCUAUUCCUAAGGCCCAUAGCGAUGUGGUUGUCACCGCUAGGUCCGAGGGAAUGCUAUAGUCGAAGUGGUACAAGCAUACGAGGUGGUUAGGAUAAACACGGGAGAAAUGGGGUAAAGCCCGAUGGUCAUGGCAAGAUGGACUUGCGUCCAUGAGCUUCACCUAACGAGUUGGUCUCCGUCAAUUCCACAAAGGUUGUUCCUAAUCUGUAUCCCACUAGACUAGGCCACAUGGGUCUCGAGUGUGCAGGUAAGAACCGCGUCGAUGACGACAACGAGUUCACGAUGGCCAUGUCCGAGGGACGGGAAUAGGAGCUAACAAGCGUAGCGUGACGAAGUCAACUAAACACGGGGAAACGAGUGACGCUCGACAUCACGAUCACGGCGGGACGAACCCACGAUCGAAAUGGUCGCACGCACUACCAUUUUCCCUAACCGGCUCGAAGGCUCGGUCCUCGGGCAAUUAACACAAAAACAACAACAACACGAGAGAAGGGACAUGCUUGGCAUUACGGCCAUGGCGAGACGAACUCGCGAUCGCAACAUUCAAACACGUCACUCUCUCAACCGGCUCGACGGCACGGUCCACAACGACAAGAACAAAUGCACAAAUUGCAACACUAACAAGACGACGACUCGGAGUAGCACAUUUCCAUAGCGACCAAAAGAGAUAGAGUAGACCGGCGCGAAGGCACGUCACAGGCAAAGAUAUAAUAGAGACAGAUCAUGCAUUAAACGAGAUUGGAGAUGAAUGAUCAAGUACGAAUGAUAGAUAACGAAAUGAUGUACAAAAGCAAAAGGGGUUUUUCGUCGGCGUCGACUAGGGUUCGACCUUGGUGAUGGCAGGGCAGGCGAGGCUUGUCGCGGAGCGCCCGGGUGAACUUGGCUAGCUGCAGCGUGUCCUGGUCCGCUAUGGCGUGCUGAUGGAGGUCGGAGUUGGGCAUGGCAGCACGAUCCAGGAGAUGUCGCGGCUCUAGCAAAAUGAUACAGCGAAGCCACUACUCCCCUGCAACAGUGAAGGUUCACGGCGCGAAGGCCGGUCUCAGAUAGGAGCACAUCGACAAUGUGAAAAGGAAAAGCUUGGAGUUUCGGUUUCUCACCAGCGACAACAAGGAGCUCCGUGUGAGGUGGUACUGCUACUGCGACGGUGGAGCUGGGCACCGCGGUGGCUUGGCGUCGCGGCUGAGGUACUCGGGCGCCGUGGUCGUGUCCGCAGCCGAGGACGGCUGGUACCGUUUGCGCGACCGACCGUGGCUGUGGCCUGGCUCGACGGGGCACCAGGCGGCGUCGUGGCUCCGGGGCGAGCCGAGGUGCAGGUGCGUGGGGGCGAGGGCGCGAGCUCGACGUCGGGGUCGCAGGUGCGGCUCGGCGGUGCCCGACACGGCGAGGGCGCUGAGGGCGAGGCGCUCGGGGUCGCGGCGGCUCGGCAGUGGUCGUUGUGGUCGUGGCCACCACGGCCGCGGCAUGGACGGAGACAGAGGCGUCGCGGGUGACGUCGCAAGGUGGACGCGGCCACGGCGAGGUCCAAGACGCGGGCGCGUCC